GGCCCGGUGGUGUAGUUGGCAACAUGUCUUCAAAUGAUAUUGACGAAGGUUGUGAGAGGAAGUUCCUUGUUCGAUUCAAGGCCAGGCUG
Mycena rebaudengoi is the source of this 89-nucleotide non-coding RNA. The record is from the annotation of a GenBank genome assembly. NCBI's taxonomy places the organism in Eukaryota, Fungi, Basidiomycota, Agaricomycetes, Agaricales, Mycenaceae.